UCAACCCAUUUAACCAUCUAACCCAUCAAAUUAAAUGAGUUCAUGGGUUGACCCAACUCAUUUGGUAAAUGAGUUGGGUCAACCCAUGAACUCAUUUAACUCUAAACUCAUUGGGUAAUGAGU
Molecule: non-coding RNA, 123 nt
Organism: Arabidopsis thaliana x Arabidopsis arenosa
Lineage: Eukaryota; Viridiplantae; Streptophyta; Magnoliopsida; Brassicales; Brassicaceae
Source: the annotation of a GenBank genome assembly